CUAGCCGUAAACGAUGGAUACUAGGUGUUGUCUGUAUCGACCCAGACAGUGCCGUAGCUAACGCGAUAAGUAUCCCGCCUGGGGACUACGCACGCAAGUGUGAAACUCAAAGGAAUUGACGGGGGCCCGCACAAGCGGUGGAGUAUGUGGUUUAAUUCGAUGCAACGCGAAAAACCUUACCAGGGCUUGACAUGUCGCGAACCCUGCCGAAAGGUGGGGGUGCCUUCGGGAGCGCGAACACAGGUGG
RNAcentral lists this ribosomal RNA (247 nucleotides) under uncultured cyanobacterium. RNAcentral's name for it is "partial 16S ribosomal RNA". It matches the Rfam family "Bacterial small subunit ribosomal RNA", at positions 796 to 1041 of the family's 1533-position model. The record is from RNAcentral. Lineage: Bacteria; Bacillati; Cyanobacteriota.